UACUUAUACCCUAUAAGUAUAACUAAAAUUCCUAAUAGCUAUCUCAAAAUUUCCUCAAACUAUCUCUGUCUUCUGAGAACAGUUUCUUCUGCUUGGCAUGCCAGGCCUAGUCUAACCUACUUUACUAUAAAUUAUUCACUAACUCCUUAACUCCCUAACUCCCUAAAAUAACAGACAGUCACCACUCCUUCACUCCUUCAAUCAGAUUUCUAUAGCAGCCCAACUGUCAGCAGCCAACUGCCAGCAGCCCCUUGCUUCAGAGACAGACUUCCUGCUCUCUAGAGAUCCCAGAGGCAAAAGACCCCUAACUGUCAGAGGCUGCUUCCUUUCUUCCCUCACUGCCCAACUGUCCCCCCUAACUUCCUGUCAGAGGGCAGGCUACUUCUUCUCCUCAGACCUGGUCUCCCUGGUAACAGAAUCUUCAGCUCUGGCUCACUGACUCCUAUCUGUUCUGAUCUACUUAGAAACCUUAUUCUCCAGUCUCUUUAGGAGACAGAGGGAGAGAUGAAGAAAAUCCCUUUAACAAUAUACUCCAAGAAGGCAGGUAACUGGCACAGUGAAUGGAACACUGAACCUAGAGGGAGAAUGACUCUUCUUGAGUUCAAAUCUGGCCUCCAACACUGUGUGCUUCCAGUUCUACAUAUACUGCAUACUACAAAACUAUAUAUGAAGUUACUAUUGCCCUUUGUGGUGAAAACACUGAUGACUCCUUCAUUCUCUUAAUUGGAGCCCAGAAGUUUAAGUUUGGGAGGAGCUAAGCCACUGUUUUCUAUGCUCUUGUGGAUUAUGUAGCCUCAUCUUUCACACCAGUUAUUUUUCAUUAUAUUUUUGUUAUAAUCUCAUAAAUUUCAUUUCUGUUCCUUGCUUUCUACCUUUUUCUCUGACUGGUAAGCAAAUCAAAACUAAUAAUGACACAGUAAAGGUGGUAUCAUUAAACUAUCCUAAUUUUCUUUGUGAAACCCAAAUCCAUAACUCCCUUCCCUCAACACUAUUUCCCAUUAUCUUUUACCCUUAAAAUAAUAGAAAAUGGCUCCAUUUACUCUGUUUUC
This 1049-nucleotide long non-coding RNA is filed under the name Monodelphis domestica (gray short-tailed opossum). RNAcentral describes it as "lncRNA (ENSMODG00000030419.2)". Lineage: Eukaryota; Metazoa; Chordata; Mammalia; Didelphimorphia; Didelphidae. The record is from RNAcentral.